RNAcentral lists this ribosomal RNA (1359 nucleotides) under Curtobacterium sp. MH43. RNAcentral describes it as "16S ribosomal RNA". It matches the Rfam family "Bacterial small subunit ribosomal RNA", at positions 77 to 1447 of the family's 1533-position model. Lineage: Bacteria; Bacillati; Actinomycetota; Actinomycetes; Micrococcales; Microbacteriaceae. The record is from RNAcentral.
AGCUUGCUGGGUGGAUUAGUGGCGAACGGGUGAGUAACACGUGAGUAACCUGCCCCUGACUCUGGGAUAAGCGUUGGAAACGACGUCUAAUACUGGAUAUGAUCACUGGCCGCAUGGUCUGGUGGUGGAAAGAUUUUUUGGUUGGGGAUGGACUCGCGGCCUAUCAGCUUGUUGGUGAGGUAAUGGCUCACCAAGGCGACGACGGGUAGCCGGCCUGAGAGGGUGACCGGCCACACUGGGACUGAGACACGGCCCAGACUCCUACGGGAGGCAGCAGUGGGGAAUAUUGCACAAUGGGCGAAAGCCUGAUGCAGCAACGCCGCGUGAGGGAUGACGGCCUUCGGGUUGUAAACCUCUUUUAGUAGGGAAGAAGCGAAAGUGACGGUACCUGCAGAAAAAGCACCGGCUAACUACGUGCCAGCAGCCGCGGUAAUACGUAGGGUGCAAGCGUUGUCCGGAAUUAUUGGGCGUAAAGAGCUCGUAGGCGGUUUGUCGCGUCUGCUGUGAAAUCCCGAGGCUCAACCUCGGGCUUGCAGUGGGUACGGGCAGACUAGAGUGCGGUAGGGGAGAUUGGAAUUCCUGGUGUAGCGGUGGAAUGCGCAGAUAUCAGGAGGAACACCGAUGGCGAAGGCAGAUCUCUGGGCCGUAACUGACGCUGAGGAGCGAAAGCAUGGGGAGCGAACAGGAUUAGAUACCCUGGUAGUCCAUGCCGUAAACGUUGGGCGCUAGAUGUAGGGACCUUUCCACGGUUUCUGUGUCGUAGCUAACGCAUUAAGCGCCCCGCCUGGGGAGUACGGCCGCAAGGCUAAAACUCAAAGGAAUUGACGGGGGCCCGCACAAGCGGCGGAGCAUGCGGAUUAAUUCGAUGCAACGCGAAGAACCUUACCAAGGCUUGACAUACACCGGAAACGGCCAGAGAUGGUCGCCCCCUUGUGGUCGGUGUACAGGUGGUGCAUGGUUGUCGUCAGCUCGUGUCGUGAGAUGUUGGGUUAAGUCCCGCAACGAGCGCAACCCUCGUUCUAUGUUGCCAGCGGGUUAUGCCGGGGACUCAUAGGAGACUGCCGGGGUCAACUCGGAGGAAGGUGGGGAUGACGUCAAAUCAUCAUGCCCCUUAUGUCUUGGGCUUCACGCAUGCUACAAUGGCCGGUACAAAGGGCUGCGAUACCGUAAGGUGGAGCGAAUCCCAAAAAGCCGGUCUCAGUUCGGAUUGAGGUCUGCAACUCGACCUCAUGAAGUCGGAGUCGCUAGUAAUCGCAGAUCAGCAACGCUGCGGUGAAUACGUUCCCGGGCCUUGUACACACCGCCCGUCAAGUCAUGAAAGUCGGUAACACCCGAAGCCGGUGGCCUAACCCUUGUGGA